CGACAUCAUCUCGCACGCCGCCUACCCAGAUUUCGGGGCACAGAGCGUCCACCUGCCGACAAUACGAUCGCCUCCGGCGGUGCAACUUCAGCGACGAAGGAGCGAAGACAUUUACAGGAGAACGCUGGAGGUGAUGUCGCCGCACGCGCUGUCGCUGGCCACGUCUCGGACGUCGCUACACGCGCCAGCCUGCCGCCUCAGCGGGGCGGCCCUGGCCUGUUCUUCGGAGACGCUG
This is a long non-coding RNA of Schistocerca cancellata (South American locust), 235 nucleotides long. RefSeq lists it as uncharacterized. Lineage: Eukaryota; Metazoa; Arthropoda; Insecta; Orthoptera; Acrididae. The transcript is spliced from 3 exons. The record is from RefSeq and is a predicted model, not a curated record.